RNAcentral lists this ribosomal RNA (474 nucleotides) under uncultured bacterium. Its description in RNAcentral is "bacterial SSU rRNA". It matches the Rfam family "Bacterial small subunit ribosomal RNA", at positions 61 to 507 of the family's 1533-position model. The record is from RNAcentral.
GUCGCACGAGAACGCUUCAGCUUGCUGAAGUAAGUAAAGUGGCGCACGGGUGAGUAACGCGUGGGUAAUCUACCCUCAAAUUGGGGAUAACCCGCCGAAAGGCGGGCUAAUACCGAAUGAUAUCUUGGGAACUUAUGUUUUUAGGAUCAAAGGUGGCCUCUACAUGUAAGCUAUUGUUUGAGGAUGAGCCCGCGUACCAUUAGCUUGUUGGUAGGGUAAUGGCCUACCAAGGCUGCGAUGGUUAGCUGGUCUGAGAGGAUGAUCAGCCACACUGGAACUGACACACGGUCCAGACUCCUACGGGAGGCAGCAGUGAGGAAUUUUGCGCAAUGGGGGAAACCCUGACGCAGCAACGCCGCGUGAGUGAUGAAGGCUUUCGGGUCGUAAAGCUCUGUCAAGUGGGAAGAACUCAUAUGGUGUUAAUAUUGCCAUGUGCUGACGGUACCACUGAAGGAAGCACCGGCUAACUCCGUG